RNAcentral lists this small nucleolar RNA (121 nucleotides) under Echinops telfairi (small Madagascar hedgehog). RNAcentral's name for it is "Small nucleolar RNA SNORA61 (ENSETEG00000026650.1)". The record is from RNAcentral. Lineage: Eukaryota; Metazoa; Chordata; Mammalia; Afrosoricida; Tenrecidae.
CCCUUCCAGAUUCCUUACCCAUCACAUUUAAACAUUGGUCUGAGUGGCAACAAAAUGAUGCAAAGUAAGACGGAAACACACUUGGAUUCUUUUGCGACGUACAAAUUUAUUUCUAAGAAAA